Small nucleolar RNA from Bombus pascuorum, 165 nucleotides. Lineage: Eukaryota; Metazoa; Arthropoda; Insecta; Hymenoptera; Apidae. The record is from RefSeq and is a predicted model, not a curated record.
AUUCUUUGUAAUCUUGGUGAAUGGCAUUAGUUUUGGCUGGAUUCACUGUAAGGCCGAAGAAACAAUAAAUUGGGUUUAACUAAGGCCUCUUCCUUCAAGUUAUAUGGAAAGGGGGUCUAAUCAUUAAGUGUGAGCUUAAUAAACCCAUACAUUCCAUGACAAUAU